This 69-nucleotide transfer RNA is filed under the name Uperoleia micra (tiny toadlet). Its description in RNAcentral is "tRNA-Trp". It matches the Rfam family "tRNA". From Rfam's summary of the family: Transfer RNA (tRNA) molecules are approximately 80 nucleotides in length. Lineage: Eukaryota; Metazoa; Chordata; Amphibia; Anura; Myobatrachidae. The record is from RNAcentral.
AGAAACUUAGGCUAACAAGACCCUGGACCUUCAAAGCCCACAGUAGAAGUUAAACUCUUCUAGUUUCUG